RNAcentral lists this ribosomal RNA (243 nucleotides) under uncultured bacterium. Its description in RNAcentral is "partial 16S ribosomal RNA". It matches the Rfam family "Bacterial small subunit ribosomal RNA", at positions 524 to 765 of the family's 1533-position model. The record is from RNAcentral.
UACGUAGGGUGCGAGCGUUAAUCGGAAUUACUGGGCGUAAAGCGUGCGCAGGCGGCGCGUUAAGACAGGUGUGAAAGCCCCGAGCUUAACUUGGGAAUUGCGCUUGUGACUGGCGUGCUGGAGUGUGGCAGAGGGAGGUGGAAUUCCACGUGUAGCAGUGAAAUGCGUAGAGAUGUGGAGGAACACCGAUGGCGGAAGGCAGCCUCCUGGGAUAACACUGACGCUCAUGCACGAAAGCGUGGG